CGGUCCAGUUUACUGGAUAGUGGCGCACGGGUGAGUAACACGUAGUUAGUUGACCUAAAGCCUGGGAUAGCCUCAAGAAAUUGAGGGUAAUACCGGAUGUGACCUAAGGGUUAAAGUGGCAACACACUUUAGGAGACGACUGCGGCCCAUCAGGUAGUUGGUAGGGUAAUGGCCUACCAAGCCUAUGACGGGUAGCCGGCCUGAGAGGGUGAUCGGCCACAUUGGGACUGAGACACGGCCCAGACUCC
This 248-nucleotide ribosomal RNA is filed under the name uncultured bacterium. Its description in RNAcentral is "partial 16S ribosomal RNA". It matches the Rfam family "Bacterial small subunit ribosomal RNA", at positions 67 to 339 of the family's 1533-position model. The record is from RNAcentral.